GUGUCAGCCGCCGCGGUAAUGCGUAGGGUGCAAGCGUUAAUCGGAAUUACUGGGCGUAAAGCGUGCGCAGGCGGCUUUGCAAGACAGAUGUGAAAUCCCCGGGCUCAACCUGGGAACUGCAUUUGUGACUGCAUGGCUAGAGUGCGGCAGAGGGGGAUGGAAUUCCGCGUGUAGCAGUGAAAUGCGUAGAUAUGCGGAGGAACACCGAUGGCGAAGGCAGCCCCCUGGGAUAACACUGACGCUCAUGCACGAAAGCGUGGGGAGCAAACAGGAUUAGAAACCCUCGUAGUCC
Molecule: ribosomal RNA, 292 nt
Filed under: uncultured Comamonadaceae bacterium
Lineage: Bacteria; Pseudomonadati; Pseudomonadota; Betaproteobacteria; Burkholderiales; Comamonadaceae
Description: partial 16S ribosomal RNA
Rfam family: Bacterial small subunit ribosomal RNA
Source: RNAcentral